RNAcentral lists this ribosomal RNA (450 nucleotides) under uncultured bacterium. RNAcentral describes it as "partial 16S ribosomal RNA". It matches the Rfam family "Bacterial small subunit ribosomal RNA", at positions 338 to 795 of the family's 1533-position model. The record is from RNAcentral.
CCUACGGGUGGCUGCAGUCGAGAAUCUUCGGCAAUGAGCGCAAGCUUGACCGAGCGACGCCGCGUGUGGGAUGAAGGCCCUCGGGUUGUAAACCACUGUCGUAGGGGAGGAAGGCUCCGUGAAGAGCGGGGCUUGACCUAUCCUAGGAGGAAGUACGGGCUAAGUUCGUGCCAGCAGCCGCGGUAAGACGAUCCGUACGAACGUUAUACGGAAUUACUGGGCUUAGAAGGUUUGUAGGUAGGCCAGUUGUGAAAGCCCUCGGCUCAACCGAGGAAUAGCGCUUGAUACUGCAAGGCUUGAGGGAGACAGGGGUAAGCGGAACUGAUGGUGGAGCGGUGAAAUGCGUUGAUAUCAUCAGGAACACCGGUGGCGAAAGCGGCUUACUGGGUCUCUUCUGACGCUGAGGAACGAAAGCUAGGGGAGCGAACGGGAUUAGAUACCCUGGUAGUC